UUUGAAACACUAGUUCUCGUAUGAUCACUGAAGUUAAGCAAAGUUGAACCUGGUCAGUACCUAGAUAGGCGACCGCUUGGGAAUACCAGGUGCUGUAA
Acanthosepion pharaonis is the source of this 98-nucleotide non-coding RNA. NCBI's taxonomy places the organism in Eukaryota, Metazoa, Mollusca, Cephalopoda, Sepiida, Sepiidae. The record is from the annotation of a GenBank genome assembly.